This 280-nucleotide long non-coding RNA is filed under the name Mytilus galloprovincialis (Mediterranean mussel). Lineage: Eukaryota; Metazoa; Mollusca; Bivalvia; Mytilida; Mytilidae. The record is from RNAcentral.
UUAAUGAAUCAUUUAUAUCAUGGGUGGAAACUUUAUAUAAGGGAAUACAAACAUGUGUAAUAAAUAAUGGAUGGGUAUCUGAGAUUUUUGAAAACUCCAGAGGAAUCCGUCAAGGAUGCCCUUUAUCUGCUUUACUUUUUGUUUUGUCAGUAGAAAUUAUGGCUUUGAGAUUACGACAAAACCCUGACAUCAAAGGUAUUCGAAUUACUAUUGAUAAAAAAACACAUAGCAUAAAAAUAUCUCAAUUGGCGGAUGAUACAACUCUUUUUUGUAGUUCAAA